GUGCCAGCAGCCGCGGUAAUACGUAGGGUGCAAGCGUUGUCCGGAAUUAUUGGGCGUAAAGAGCUCGUAGGCGGUCUGUCGCGUCGGCUGUGAAAACCCGAGGCUCAACCUCGGGCCUGCAGUCGAUACGGGCAAACUAGAGUACUGCAGGGGAGACUGGAAUUCCUGGUGUAGCGGUGAAAUGCGCAGAUAUCAGGAGGAACACCGGUGGCGAAGGCGGGUCUCUGGGCAGUAACUGACGCUGAGGAGCGAAAGCGUGGGGAGCGAACAGGAUUAGAUACCCUGGUAGUCC
This 292-nucleotide ribosomal RNA is filed under the name uncultured microorganism. RNAcentral's name for it is "partial 16S ribosomal RNA". It matches the Rfam family "Bacterial small subunit ribosomal RNA", at positions 505 to 796 of the family's 1533-position model. The record is from RNAcentral.